UACAGAGGGUGCAAGCGUUGUUCGGAAUUAUUGGGCGUAAAGCGCGUGUAGGUGGUGGUUCAAGUCGGGUGUGAAAGCCCUCAGCUUAACUGAGGAAGUGCGCCCGAAACUGAAUCGCUAGAGUGUCGGAGGGGAAGGCGGAAUUCCCGGUGUAGAGGUGAAAUUCGUAGAUAUCGGGAGGAACACCAGUGGCGAAGGCGGCCACCUGGACGGACACUGACGCUGAGACGCGAAAGCGUGGGUAGCAAACAGG
Molecule: ribosomal RNA, 253 nt
Filed under: uncultured bacterium
Lineage: Bacteria
Description: partial 16S ribosomal RNA
Rfam family: Bacterial small subunit ribosomal RNA
Source: RNAcentral